This is a long non-coding RNA of Macadamia integrifolia, 667 nucleotides long. RefSeq lists it as uncharacterized. Lineage: Eukaryota; Viridiplantae; Streptophyta; Magnoliopsida; Proteales; Proteaceae. The transcript has 2 exons. The record is from RefSeq and is a predicted model, not a curated record.
UGUUCCCACCCUCUCUCUUUUCUUUUCCUUCUCUUUCAGGGAAACACAAGAAAAAGAAGAAGAGAAAUUUAACAAACAUGCUUGCAAGGAACCUAACUCCUGUGAACAGUUACCUCUCUCUCAAGCAAUGGAUUUUUUUUUUUUUCCUGCAAUUUUCCUCCAAGAGGGAAUCAGGUCGUUCUUGCUUGAUGGUGCUAUUGAAAGUCGAUGUGGAACUCACCAUUGUUGGGGAGAAGCUGUUUUUGUUUUGAGAGUCUCUCUCGAAAUUCAUGUCGGUAUGCAUUGGAAUUUCAAUCUGGGAACCUUAAUUCAACUCUUUUUUUUUUCCCCUUAAGUUCUUAAGGAUAAUCCUUAUGUUUAAAAUGUGUUCCCUUUGGCUGAAGUGUUCAUUAAUCUUCAUAAAAACUGCCAUUUGGCUGAAGUGUGUUGAUCAAACUGAAGGAAAAUUUAUGUACUGAAGUGCAGGUUUGUCAGAACUCUUUACUUGGAGGUGGAUGCUAAUUUUGUGUUCUCUAAGAUGGUUAACAGUUAGGUGAUGAGGAAAAUUUAAUAUGGAAUUGGAUCCUUACAUCUUAGCUAUUGAUUUGUGGGCAAAAUAAGCUACUUGAUCUCUCAUACUGGUACAUCUUUACUCCAGGGUCCAUCAAUCAGAAGAACUUUUCCGGUC